RNAcentral lists this small RNA (28 nucleotides) under Bombyx mori (domestic silkworm). RNAcentral describes it as "ovarian small RNA-29377". The record is from RNAcentral. Lineage: Eukaryota; Metazoa; Arthropoda; Insecta; Lepidoptera; Bombycidae.
UCGUUUCUACUCUUAGCAGAGUGGUCGU